Long non-coding RNA from Cynocephalus volans (Philippine flying lemur), 659 nucleotides. RefSeq lists it as uncharacterized. Lineage: Eukaryota; Metazoa; Chordata; Mammalia; Dermoptera; Cynocephalidae. The transcript is spliced from 3 exons. The record is from RefSeq and is a predicted model, not a curated record.
CGCCGUGACAACAGGGCGAGGGUGGCUUGGAGUUAGGCGGGGGCGGAGAGCGGUCCCCUGCGCCGCGUCUGUCCCUUUUUGCUGCACCCCGCUCCCCACCUUCUCCAUCAGUUCCUCCUCUGUAAGCCGCUGCACCUGCAGUCCUCGCCUGCCUGGUCUCUUCCGAGGGAUACAUGCGCUGCCCCUGCUUGUCUCCGGGGUGACGGAAAGGGGCGCCGGCGAGUGUGCUGGGGAGAACGGCUCCAACUCUGGGGAGCCGGCGGGGCUGCCUGGAGGGGCUCUCUCCUGCCCGGGACUUGAAACAACUUAGAGCGGGAGUAGCGAGGCGAAGGGUUGCUCUCCUUUGCACCCUCCACUCCGUCACUGGGAACCUCGUCAGGCGUUCUUAACGGGAAAUCUGCGCAAAGAGCGUUCGCAGUGAGGUGGGGCAGGUUGCACCUGCCUUGGCAUCAGAGUGAAAGAAAAUGUCUUUGUUUAAAGCCCGUGAUUGGUGGUCUACUGUUCUGGGAGAAAAAGAAGAAUUUGAUCAAGGCUGUUUGUGUUUGGCUGAUGUUGACAAUAGUGGAAAUGGCCAAGAUAAAAUAAUUGUGGGUAGCUUUAUGGGAUACCUAAGAAUCUUUAACCCCCAUCCUGUAAAAACAGGAGAUGGAUCUCAAGCU